AAGUCGUACCAAGGUUUCCGUAGGUGAACCUGCGGAAGGAUCAUUAACACGUAUCCAACGUAAAAAACCCCCCUGUGAACAUUCAAACCUGCUCUCGUAGCCCAGUGCGAUCCAGCAAUCCCGGUAAAUCAUGGUCGAACAGUAUUGAUUCGGGACUUCUGACAAAUGAGAAGUUACAGUUACGAUUGAGCGGAGAUAGCUGCAUGGCAUCCCGAAGCAGUCUAAGGAUCUCGCCUCAACGAUUGCCAGAGCUCACCGACCGGCAGACAUGCAACCGGGUCUC
RNAcentral lists this unclassified non-coding RNA (283 nucleotides) under fungal sp. RNAcentral's name for it is "partial internal transcribed spacer region". The stretch from base 1 to 46 matches the Rfam family "Eukaryotic small subunit ribosomal RNA", at positions 1786 to 1831 of the family's 1831-position model. The record is from RNAcentral. Lineage: Eukaryota; Fungi.